UAAUAUACAUAGACGCCGCAUUGGCUUCUGGUCGCGAGAAAUACGGCCGCCAUCUUGGAGCGGUCGUACUCGUAGUUGCGUAGCAGCAGAAGAUACAGGAUGCCACAGCACUGUGCUGCUUAUUUCUGCGCUAAUCGGCGGACCAUCGCCAGCAGGGCUCGGGGGAUAACCUUUCACAAGUCAGAUUUAAUAUUACCGUCCUAUUUGUUGUGUUUUGUGAAAAGAAUAUUACCAGAGAGUAGAGAAGGAGCAAGUAUCUUACUGUAGUGAAAUCGCAGUCAGCUAGCUUGGCUAUGUUUACUUCCCCGGCUGUUUUUCACCUGAUUAUGAACUGAGACUUGAUAAGUCAUAUUCCAUAACACUUAGAUUCAAACGGACACAAUAAUGUUAUUGUAGAAAUAUAACCUAUCACUGGUAUAACAUUGGCCACACAACUUUCUUGUCAUGUGGAAUUAACGCAUCUUAAAGUAGCUUGCUAUGUAGUGAACUAGCUGCUGUGUUUGUGAUACUUAGCUUGCUGCAUUUCACUGUGUAAUAGCUUUUGUGUAGUGAAGCUUUAUUCAUGGCAGAGUAACUGAUCGCUUAGCUGAGUUCAAUGUGAAAGCAACUUGCCAACACAGUGUAUUAUUCACAUGUAAUUUAACAAAAGUAAGAUACCUCUCGUAUCUCAUACCCAUCCCACUUACUUAAAAUAAAGGCAACAGAACAUCUGACCUUAGAAUGGUUUGCAAACAAUCUUAUUUACAAUUUCAGCAACUUUGGUUCAUCAUCAUCAAUAUUCAUCAACAUAGGCGUUUUGUUUAAGAAAGGUUAUAAGAAAUGUGAAGAAAGAAAAUAAGCUUGAACUUCUUUGUGAAAUGUUUUUGUGUAGACUCUCCCAAAUCUUCCGUUUUCAUUUUGAAGGUUUCCAAAGGACAAACAUGUGAGGAAGAAGUGGGAAGUGGCUUUUAGGAGAGAUGGAUUUACAGCAAGUGAUUUGCUGUGAACACUUCAAGCAGAGUGAUUUUGAUAAGACGGGUCAGAUUGUCCGACUCUGGGAUGGUGUUAAUUCACUUUACUGCUUUGAAUGAACAACAUCACAUGGUGCUUUCCUAGGGUGUCUUGUUUCGCCAUGAUCAGAUCAAUAAAAGAUCUUUCUUUUGCAGGUCCUUGUCAGUCAUCGGAUUUGUCAUAAAUCUCGACACGUUGAUGCUGAUGAUUCCUGAACUGCUCCAAGUUCAGCAGUAUGUGCUCACCUACAGGUCAGAGCAUCAGGGGGCUGGAAUAACAAUCCAACGACACGCCAGUUCCAGGCAAUCUUCCGCCGUCUGAUGGUUCGGUGUGGUGUUUCACCUGGUGAGACAGGCAAUGUAGCAGCCCAAGACGACACUGUGUCCCUGUCUGCUGUGGAGAUGUCCUCUGCUGGAACUGCAGAAGAACACCCAUCUCCAUUCGCCAACAUUUCAGCCCUCGUGUGUGACCACAGUCUCCCCACUCGGUUUGGUGGUCUGGUGGAAAAUGCUCUGGUCUACAUAGCAGGGUUUGUAAUCCGGCAGAUUUUUCGAAAGCUGUCCUGUGAGGUGUGCCGUGCGAGCUUGGUCAGAGAUGCUGUACCAGCUUCAUUUGACAAGAGCUACCACCUUCUAGCCCUGAAAAACCACGGCGGCCUAGUAAUUCCAUCACAAGGCACAGUAAAGGUUUGAUUUAUCUUAUUUUUUAAAAAUAUUUUAAUCUUUGUAUAUUACGGUUGCUUUGUUUUGUCUGUUAUGUAAAGGGUUAUGUAAAAAAUCUCAAUGGAUCAGAUCAGAGUUCUUUUACAGUCAAACAUCUUUCUAAAGCAGAUGAAGAGGAGCAGCUGUAGUUUGCUGUGCUGCUGAACUUUACUGGAUUACACUGACAGGUGUACAUCCAAUUUGUAUUCAUAUUGGAUGGAAGAAACACAUAAAACGUUUCUGAGGUGAACAUUUAAUUCAGGGCUGUGGUUAAAAUACACUGUAUUAGCUUUAUAAUGGUUUCCUCUUCAUAAGAGAGGUUGGAUACAGUAACAAUUAAUAGUUAAUAUUUAGGUUAUGUCAAUAUUAUAUAUUUAAUAAGUUAAUAUUUUAUUGUAUAGGACUACAUUCCAAAUACACAGAACCGUUUGUCUUCCUGUUUCUCAAACAUCAAGAUGCUGAUAAUCAGUGUGGUGGUCCUCGUCCAGGUUAAAUGCACAAACAUUACUAUGAAUUAAAUUGAAGAUGCCCCUGAA
Non-coding RNA from Gasterosteus aculeatus aculeatus (three-spined stickleback), 2227 nucleotides. The record is from RefSeq and is a predicted model, not a curated record. Lineage: Eukaryota; Metazoa; Chordata; Actinopteri; Perciformes; Gasterosteidae.